ACUGCUCAGUAACACGUCGAUAAUCUUCCCUACGGUCAGGCAUACUCUCGGGAAACUGAGUGUAAAUCCUGAUAGGGGACGGGGCACUGGAAUGUCCCUUCCCUGAAACUCGUGCCGUAGGAUGAGUCGGCGGCGGAUUAGGCAGUUGGUGGGGUAACGGCCCACCAAACCUUUGAUCCGUACGGGCCAUGAGAGUGGUAGCCCGGAGAGGGACACUGUAAUACUGGUCCCAGCCCUACGGGGUGCAGCAGGCGCGAAACCUCCACAAUGCACGAAAGUGUGAUGGGGGGAUCCUCCGUGCUCAUGUCUGACAUGGGCUUUUGCCAAGGCCAGAGAUCUUGGCGAAUAAGGGGUGGGCAAGACCGGUGCCAGCCGCCGCGGUAACACCGGCGCCCCAAGUGGCAAUCGCGAUUAUUGGGCCUAAAGCGUCCGUAGCCGGACAGGUAAAUCCUCUGUGAAAUCGUUGCGCUUAACGUAACGGCGCGCAGGGGACACUGCCUGUCUCGAGACCGGGAGGGGUCAGAGGUAUGCCGUGGGGACUGGUAAAAUGGUAUAAUCCACGGUAGACCACCAAUGGCGAAGGCAUCUGACCAGAACGGAUCUGACGGUGAGGGACGAAAGCUAGGGGAGCGAACCGGAUUAGAUACCCGAGUAGUCCUAGCCGUAAACGCUGUGAGCUAGGUGUUGCCUAUCCCAUGAGGAUGGGCAGUGUCGAAAUGAAGAUGCUAAGCUCACCGCCUGGGAAGUACGGUCGCAAGACUGAAACUUUAAGGAAUUGGCGGGGGAGCA
Molecule: ribosomal RNA, 789 nt
Filed under: uncultured archaeon
Lineage: Archaea
Description: bacterial SSU rRNA
Rfam family: Archaeal small subunit ribosomal RNA
Source: RNAcentral